RNAcentral lists this long non-coding RNA (359 nucleotides) under Mytilus galloprovincialis (Mediterranean mussel). The record is from RNAcentral. Lineage: Eukaryota; Metazoa; Mollusca; Bivalvia; Mytilida; Mytilidae.
AUCAACGACACCAUACUAAAAGGCCUAGAAUCAAACAAUACCAAGCCAUUCUGGAAAUACAUCAAAUCCAUAAAAAAAUGAUAACAUUGGAGUAGCUCCAUUAAAAAACAAAGGGAAACUCAUCAGCGACAGUAAAGGGAAAGCUGAAAUACUAAUACAGCAAUUUAAAUCAGUUUUCACAAUAGAUAAAUCCACAACAAUACCAGACACAACAAAGCAUAUUGAGGAAACCAUACCAAACCUCAUAAUAACAGAAAAGGGACUAGAAAAACUGCUAAAAGAUGUCAACCCAUCAAAAGCUUCUGGACCGGAUGGAUUCCCAAACAGAAUUUUGAAAGAAUGUGCAAGCCAAAUUUCAC